AAAAACUUUGGGAAGCAGCUAAAAUACUGUGUUCUUUGUUUCUUCCAUCGAAAUCGAAAAAAGCUAAGAUCUUUGCGUUUUGAAACGAUGGCGGAAGAACAUAAGCAUGAUGAAUCUGUGAUCGCUCCUGAGCCAGCUGUUGAGGUUGUGGAGAGAGAAUCGUUGAUGGAUAAGAUAUCGGAGAAGAUCCAUCACGGUGGUGAUUCUUCUUCGUCUUCUUCAUCUUCUGAUGAUGAAGACGAGAAGAAGAAGACUAAGAAGCCCUCUUCUCCUUCGUCUUCUA
Molecule: small RNA, 283 nt
Filed under: Arabidopsis thaliana (thale cress)
Lineage: Eukaryota; Viridiplantae; Streptophyta; Magnoliopsida; Brassicales; Brassicaceae
Description: ATSL227500
Source: RNAcentral